RNAcentral lists this long non-coding RNA (205 nucleotides) under Panax ginseng (ginseng). Its description in RNAcentral is "long non-coding RNA (PGIN_LNC009739)". Lineage: Eukaryota; Viridiplantae; Streptophyta; Magnoliopsida; Apiales; Araliaceae. The record is from RNAcentral.
AAAAUCUGAUAGAAUACAAUAGACAACAAGUUUCAGAUCAGCAGCGGAAAUAAUAAUUCAUAGAUGAGUUACGUAGAGAAUGAAAUCUACUAUUAUCUAUGAAUUUAAAAGUCCAUCGUCAAUAUUUUAUCCCUGUAACAUCAAUCAAUAUUCAUCUUGAAUCAAAUUUUCAUCUUUGCACUACAGGCCAAAGAUAUUCAUCAGU